RNAcentral lists this ribosomal RNA (1016 nucleotides) under uncultured archaeon. RNAcentral's name for it is "bacterial SSU rRNA". It matches the Rfam family "Archaeal small subunit ribosomal RNA", at positions 385 to 1406 of the family's 1478-position model. The record is from RNAcentral.
UGCGAGGGCAUAUAGCCCUCGCUUUUCUGUACCGUAAGGUGGUACAGGAACAAGGACUGGGCAAGACCGGUGCCAGCCGCCGCGGUAAUACCGGCAGUCCGAGUGAUGGCCGAUAUUAUUGGGCUAAAGCGUCCGUAGCCGGCCGGACAAGUCCGUUGGGAAAUCGACGCGCUCAACGCGUCGGCGUCCAGCGGAAACUGUCCGGCUUGGGGCCGGAAGACCUGGGGGGUACGUCCGGGGUAGGAGUGAAAUCCUGUAAUCCUGGACGGACCACCAAUGGGGAAACCACCUCAGGAAGACGGACCCGACGGUGAGGGACGAAAGCUAGGGUCUCGAACCGGAUUAGAUACCCGGGUAGUCCUAGCUGUAAACGAUGCUCGCUAGGUGUGCCGUAGGCUACGAGCCUGCGCUGCGCCCUAGGGAAGCCGAGAAGCGAGCCGCCUGGGAAGUACGUCUGCAAGGAUGAAACUUAAAGGAAUUGGCGGGGGAGCACCACAACCGGAGGAGCCUGCGGUUUAAUUGGACUCAACGCCGGACAUCUCACCGGUCCCGACAGUAGUAAUGACGGUCAGGUUGACGACUUUACCCGACGCUACUGAGAGGAGGUGCAUGGCCGCCGUCAGCUCGUACCGUGAGGCGUCCUGUUAAGUCAGGCAACGAGCGAGACCCGCACUUCUAGUUGCCAGCAAUACCCUUGAGGUAGUUGGGUACACUAGGAGGACUGCCGCUGCUAAAGCGGAGGAAGGAACGGGCAACGGUAGGUCAGUAUGCCCCGAAUGGACCGGGCAACACGCGGGCUACAAUGGCUCUGACAGUGGGAUGCAACGCCGAGAGGCGACGCUAAUCUCCAAACGGAGUCGUAGUUCGGAUUGCGGGCUGAAACCCGCCCGCAUGAAGCUGGAUUCGGUAGUAAUCGCGUGUCAGAAGCGCGCGGUGAAUACGUCCCUGCUCCUUGCACACACCGCCCGUCAAAGCACCCGAGUGGGGUCCGGAUGAGGCCAUCAUGCGAUGGUCGA